CAAUGACAAAGCAAAAACAGAUCUUCAAAUUAAAAUAAAUUUAAACUUUACUCAGUACUUUGUUAAAGCACCUUUGGCAGCGAUCGCAGCCUUGAGUCUUAUUGGGUAUGACGCUACAAGCUUGGCACACCUGUAUUUGGGGAGUUCCAUUUUUUUCUGCAGAUCCUCUCAAGCUCUGACAGGUUGGAUGGGGAGCGUCGCUGCACAACUAUUUUCAGGUCUCUCCAGAGAUGUUAGAUCGGGCUCUGGCUGGGCCACUCAAGGACAUUCAGACUUGUCCCAAAGCAUUUACAUUUACCCACUCCUACAUUGACUCGGCUGUGUGCUUAGGGUCAUUGUCCUGUUGGAAGGUGAACCUUCGCCUCAGUCAGAGGUCCUGAGUGCUCUGGAGCAGGUUUUCAUUAAGGAUCUCUAUACUUUGCUCCGUUCAGCAUUCCCUCAAUCCUGAUUAGUCUCCCAGUCCCUGCAGCUGAAAAACUUCCCCACAGCAUGAUGCCGCCACCACGCUUCACCGUAGGGAUUGUGCCAGGUUUCCUCCAGACAUGACGCUUGGCAUUCAGGCCAGAGUUCAAUCUUGGUGCCUUUUGGCAAACUCAAAGCAGACUGUCAUGUGCCUUUUACUGAGGAGUGGCUUCCAUCUGGCCACUCUACCAUAAAGGCCAGAUUGGUUGAGUGCUGCAGAGAUGGUUGUCCUUCUGGAAGGUUCUCCCAUCUCCACAGAGCUCUGGAGCUCUGUCACAGUGGCCAUUGGGAUCUUCAUCACCUCCCUGACCAAGGCCCUUCUCCCCCUACAGAUUUUCAUGGGAAUAUUCUAAAAUCCACAUAAAGAAAAUAUUCACAUUUUCCCACCAGUGGUGUUUCCACCAAACUGACUUGAAGAUAAACAUCUGUGUGUGAUGAUGUAGUGCACACAAAAUAUACUUUUUGUUCUUAAGUUUUCAUGUACCGAAUAAAAAACCCAGUGUUCAAUUUGUUUCCAUCGCAUUUUCAGCUCUAUCGAUAGUUGUCACAAACAGCAAAUAUGACUACUCUCAUCUUUGCACUUGCACUCUAGUCAACAGCUCGCAGAUACUGUGCGGGUAGGCUAGUCUACAUGACGAGACUAUUAUGGAUAAGAGCGAGAAUAUUUUUAUUUGUCAAACGGCAGUCAAGCAUCAAGUCACCAGAAUAUGACCCUCGAUAUUUAGCGGAAAUGAGCAUCAAUAUCACUGUGCACUUUCACCACCCUGUGAAGUUCAUCAUAAUUUAUUUAAUCUGUAACUUAAUAAACUGCAUGGUUUCCUUAAUCGUAGUGGGAGUCAGGACCACACACGUGACUCCAAGUUUACUUCAAUAGGAUGGUUAUUAUAUAAAUAUUUGCGCAUAAAAAAAGGUGUUUCCGCCGCUAUUUCUCACAUAAUUAAUUCCGUCGAAACAAAAAGAUCCCACCAUGUCGAAUGAACAAAUGACCUGUCGGCACGAUUUUUUUUUUUUACGUCGGAUAAAAAAUUUAUAAAAAAACUGACAGGUCCUAUUGAAAAAUUUGUUGGUAAACUUUCCAAAUGUCGACAAAACAAAAUACGCUAGAUAAGGGUGGUGAAAGUGAACAGUGAUGACCUUGAUGUAGAGGUCUGCACGAGACUGAUUUCUUCAACCCGCACCCACUUGCUUGCUGUCCAACUCCCACCCACUACCGCAAGAACUGGUCCUGAAACCAACAGCGGUAAUUGUGAGUAUUUCUGUCUGUAAUAAUGCCCUUUUGUGGGGAAAAUCUCAUUCUGAUUAGCUGGACCUGGCUCCCAAGUGGGUGGGUCUAUGCCUUCCCAGGCCCACCCAUGGCUGUGCCCCUGCCCAGUCAUGUGAAAUCCAUAGAUUAGGGCCUAAUGAAUUUAAGUAAAUUAACUGACUUCCUUAUAUGAACUGUAACUCUGUAAAAUCGUUUAAAGUUGCGUUUAUAUUUUUGUUCAGUGUAGCUAGCUUUUAGCUACUUGAAAACCGAAGCCCAUCUCAG
This 1990-nucleotide long non-coding RNA is filed under the name Salmo salar (Atlantic salmon). RNAcentral describes it as "lncRNA (ENSSSAG00000090643.1)". Lineage: Eukaryota; Metazoa; Chordata; Actinopteri; Salmoniformes; Salmonidae. The record is from RNAcentral.